RNAcentral lists this Y RNA (112 nucleotides) under Canis lupus familiaris (dog). RNAcentral describes it as "Y RNA (multiple genes)". It matches the Rfam family "Y RNA". From Rfam's summary of the family: Y RNAs are components of the Ro ribonucleoprotein particle (Ro RNP), in association with Ro60 and La proteins. The Y RNAs and Ro60 and La proteins are well conserved, but the function of the Ro RNP is not known. RNAcentral also lists the same sequence under 1 other name. The record is from Rfam by way of RNAcentral. Lineage: Eukaryota; Metazoa; Chordata; Mammalia; Carnivora; Canidae.
GGCUGGUCUGAAAGUAGUAAGUUGUCUCAAUUGAUUGUUCACAGUCACAGAUCAAACUCCUUGUUCUACUCUUUCCCCCCUUCUCACCACUGCACUUAAUGAAUAGUCUUAA